This is a non-coding RNA of Taeniopygia guttata (zebra finch), 428 nucleotides long. The record is from RefSeq and is a predicted model, not a curated record. Lineage: Eukaryota; Metazoa; Chordata; Aves; Passeriformes; Estrildidae.
GUGUGAAAGUGGUGUCACUCCUGAUUUGAGUGGAAGACUUUGGCGCACAUUUUAGCUGCCUGUGAAUCUGGCAUCCGUAAUGAGAUCAAAGACCACGAGGCCGCAAUAGCAGCUAGACCAGAACUGAGCCACUGGGGUUUUGGCCCCAAACAGAAAUCUGUGAGACAAAACUGUGCUGUUUGUUUGAAGGGAUGCAAUACUAGAGACAGAACUUAUUUAGAUGGAUGCUGAUGAACAAUCUGCUGAAAGGGGAAGAAUGGACUCAUCUUCUGGAAUAAGUAACCUUUAGCUCCUGCAGCACUAAAAGCUUGUGGCUCACAAGAUCCUAUUUAAUUUUUUUUGGUGUUCCUGGUUUUGAGGAAGCUCCAAGACUGGGCUUGAAGGUCCCAAAGGCUGUUCCAGCCACCUAAAUAAAAGCACAUUUAUUA